Molecule: microRNA precursor, 64 nt
Filed under: Sorex araneus (European shrew)
Lineage: Eukaryota; Metazoa; Chordata; Mammalia; Eulipotyphla; Soricidae
Description: miRNA (ENSSARG00000018434.1)
Source: RNAcentral
GGAUAUGGCUCAGUGGUAGAGCAUGUGACUAGCAUAUGUGUGGCCCUGGUUUUAGUCCUCAGCA